RNAcentral lists this transfer-messenger RNA (360 nucleotides) under Staphylococcus pseudintermedius. It matches the Rfam family "transfer-messenger RNA". From Rfam's summary of the family: Bacterial tmRNA, also known as 10Sa RNA or SsrA, is named for its dual tRNA and mRNA-like properties. Its role is to liberate the mRNA from a stalled ribosome. Lineage: Bacteria; Bacillati; Bacillota; Bacilli; Caryophanales; Staphylococcaceae. The record is from RNAcentral.
GGGGACGUUUAUGGAUUCGACAGGGGUCCCCCGAGCUCAUGAAGCGUGUCGGAGGGUUGUCUUCGUUACCAACACAUCAGUUUAUAAUAACUGGCAAAACUAACAAUAAUUUCGCAGUAGCUGCCUAAUUGCACUCUGCAUCACCUAACAGCAUCGCCUAUGUGCUGUUAACGUGAUUCAACUUUAGUAGGAUACGCUCGCCACUGCCGUUUGAAGUCUGGCGAGAAGAGAUGAAUCAAACUAGCAUCAUGUUGGCUGUCUAUCGCCUUGCAUGAUGUGAAAUUGAACGAUAGACUACACACGUAGAAACAUUUGUAUCAGGACCUUUGGACGCGGGUUCAAAUCCCGCCGUCUCCACUA